AUUGAACGCUGGCGGCAGGCCUAACACAUGCAAGUCGAACGGUAACAGAAAGCAGCUUGCUGCUUUGCUGACGAGUGGCGGACGGGUGAGUAAUGUCUGGGAAACUGCCUGAUGGAGGGGGAUAACUACUGGAAACGGUAGCUAAUACCGCAUAACGUCGCAAGACCAAAGAGGGGGACCUUCGGGCCUCUUGCCAUCGGAUGUGCCCAGGUGGGAUUAGCUAGUAGGUGGGGUAACGGCGCACCUAGGCGACGAUCCCUAGCUGGUCUGAGAGGAUGACCAGCCACACUGGAACAGAGGCACGGGCCAGACUCCUACGGGAGGCAGCAGUGGGGAAUAUUGCACAAUGGGCGCAAGCCUGAUGCAGCCAUGCCGCGUGUAUGAAGAAGGCCUUCGGGUUGUAAAGUACUUUCAGCGAGGAGGAAGGUGUUGUGGUUAAUAACCGCAGCAAUUGACGUUACUCGCAGAAGAAGCACCGGCUAACUCCGUGCCAGCAGCCGCAGUAA
Molecule: ribosomal RNA, 506 nt
Filed under: uncultured bacterium
Lineage: Bacteria
Description: partial 16S ribosomal RNA
Rfam family: Bacterial small subunit ribosomal RNA
Source: RNAcentral